Molecule: ribosomal RNA, 253 nt
Filed under: uncultured bacterium
Lineage: Bacteria
Description: partial 16S ribosomal RNA
Rfam family: Bacterial small subunit ribosomal RNA
Source: RNAcentral
UACGAAGGGGGCUAGCGUUGUUCGGAAUUACUGGGCGUAAAGCGCACGUAGGCGGAUAUUUAAGUCAGGGGUGAAAUCCCAGAGCUCAACUCUGGAACUGCCUUUGAUACUGGGUAUCUUGAGUAUGGAAGGGGUGAGUGGAAUUCCGAGUGUAGAGGUGAAAUUCGUAGAUAUUCGGAGGAACACCAGUGGCGAAGGCGGCUCACUGGUCCAUUACUGACGCUGAGGUGCGAAAGCGUGGGGAGCAAACAGG